CCUCUUCCAGAUUCAGUCUUCAUUGCCUCUCACAAUCAUGGUGUCCCAUACUCAAAUAGAAGCUAGUUUCCAUGUGCCUGAUUACCCAGAGGUGACCAGUUACCAACUCAUGCAUACUGGCAGCCUUUGCACUCCUUGUAGAUAGGAACUACUGGGAUCUUUCCAGGGAAAUACUAUUAUUUUAAAAUUUCUUCCUUUCUCUGGUAUUAUUGGAGGUGGCAGAGGGAACUCUCUUUCAUGAUUUUCUGGUAUUGACUGCCUUUUCACUUUUUUCUAGCUCAAUAAUACACCAAUCUCUUCUCGGCUGUCAUUUGCAGAAAUGACUGGAAAACAGUUUAUGGGGAAAAUACCUAGGGGUGAUAAUAAAUUGCAAAAUGAUAUGGAAGCAAAAAAGACUUGACAUUCUUCCACCCUCAACUCUCUGCAAUAAGUCAAGAAUCCCCUCUGCCUCUUCCAAUCCUGUGCUUCUUUGUUCUGAUGCUGAAGAACUUUUUCCAGUGGAUUGUGGCCAGAUAUGAAGAGGAAAUGGAUCUCAUUUUUGUGUCAUUUCUAAGACAGAAGAGCAAGAUCUUCGCAAACAGGAUUAAGGAUUUAACCAAGAAGAUAUUUGAGGCCAUAUUUGAAGCCAGAUCCUCCUGACUCCAGACUUGGCACUCCAUCCACUGUGCCACCUAGCUGCACCAGCAAUCAUUUAAGGACCUGCUAUGUUCCAGAUCAGGCAGGUGCUGAGUUCCCAUCUGCCUUCAGACGUUUGCUAGCUGUGUGACCCU
This 770-nucleotide long non-coding RNA is filed under the name Monodelphis domestica (gray short-tailed opossum). RNAcentral's name for it is "lncRNA (ENSMODG00000035026.2)". The record is from RNAcentral. Lineage: Eukaryota; Metazoa; Chordata; Mammalia; Didelphimorphia; Didelphidae.